AUUUAUAUAGUUUAAGAAAACAUUACAUUUUCACUGUAAAGACAAAGUCCAACUUUUAUAAAUA
This 64-nucleotide transfer RNA is filed under the name Coptotermes sepangensis. RNAcentral describes it as "tRNA-Glu". It matches the Rfam family "tRNA". Rfam says of the family: Transfer RNA (tRNA) molecules are approximately 80 nucleotides in length. Their secondary structure includes four short double-helical elements and three loops (D, anti-codon, and T loops). Further hydrogen bonds mediate the characteristic L-shaped molecular structure. tRNAs have two regions of fundamental functional importance: the anti-codon, which is responsible for specific mRNA codon recognition, and the 3' end, to which the tRNAs corresponding amino acid is attached (by aminoacyl-tRNA synthetases). tRNAs cope with the degeneracy of the genetic code in two manners: having more than one tRNA (with a specific anti-codon) for a particular amino acid; and 'wobble' base-pairing, i.e. permitting non-standard base-pairing at the 3rd anti-codon position. Lineage: Eukaryota; Metazoa; Arthropoda; Insecta; Blattodea; Rhinotermitidae. RNAcentral also lists the same sequence under 1 other name. The record is from RNAcentral.